AGAGUUUGAUCCUGGCUCAGAACGAACGCUGGCGGCGUGGAUUAGGCAUGCAAGUCGAACGCGAACGGGAGACGAACAUUCCUUCGGGAAUGGGAUGCUCCCUAGUAGAGUGGCGAACGGGUGAGUAACGCGUGGGUAACCUUCCCUCGAGAUGGGGAUAACACUCCCAACGGGGUGCUAAUACCGAAUAAUAUCAUCUUUUCAUACGCUGAGAUGAUCAAAGGUGGCCUCACGAAAUGUUCUGGCGCUCCAGGAUGGGCCCGCGUCCCAUUAGCUUGUUGGUAGGGUAACGGCCUACCAAGGCGACGAUGGGUAGCCGGCCUGAGAGGGUGAACGGCCACACUGGGACUGAGACACGGCCCAGACUCCUACGGGAGGCAGCAGUGGGGAAUAUUGCGCAAUGGGCGAAAGCCUGACGCAGCAACGCCGCGUGGAGGAUGAAGGUUUUCGGAUUGUAAACUCCUUUCAGCAGGGACGAAGGUUACCUUUGGUAAUUGACGGUACCUGAAGAAGAAGCCCCGGCUGAAGCCCCGGCUAACUACGUGCCAGCAGCCGCGGUAAUACGUAGGGGGCAAGCGUUGUCCGGAAUUAUUGGGCGUAAAGCGCGCGCAGGCGGCCCGUUAAGUCAGAUGUGAAAUCCCUCGGCUCAACCGAGGACCUGCAUUUGAAACUGACAGGCUAGAGUACAGGAGAGGGAAGCGGAAUUCCUAGUGUAGCGGUGAAAUGCGCAGAUAUUAGGAAGAACACCGGUGGCGAAGGCGGCUUCCUGGACUGUUACUGACGCUGAGGUGCGAAAGCUAGGGGAGCAAACAGGAUUAGAUACCCUGGUAGUCCUAGCCGUAAACGAUGGGCACUAGGUGUAGGGGGUAUCAACUCCCCCUGUGCCGAAGCUAACGCAUUAAGUGCCCCGCCUGGGGAGUACGGCCGCAAGGCUAAAACUCAAAGGAAUUGACGGGGGCCCGCACAAGCGGCGGAGCAUGUGGCUUAAUUCGACGCAACGCGAAGAACCUUACCUGGACUUGACAUAUAAGUGAAAGCUGUGGAAACAUGGCCCCCCUUUGGGGCGCUUAUACAGGUGGUGCAUGGUUGUCGUCAGCUCGUGUCGUGAGAUGUUGGGUUAAGUCCCGCAACGAGCGCAACCCCUGUCCUAUGUUGCCAGCAGUUCGGCUGGGCACUCUAAGGAGACUGCCGGUGAUAAACCGGAGGAAGGUGGGGAUGACGUCAAGUCCUCAUGGUCCUUACGUCCGGGGCUACACACGUGCUACAAUGACGGGUACAGAGGGUCGCAAGGCCGCAAGGUGGAGCCAAUCCCAGAAAACCGGCCUCAGUUCGGAUCGGAGUCUGCAACUCGACUUCGUGAAGUUGGAAUCGCUAGUAAUCGCGGAUCAGCAGGCCGCGGUGAAUACGUUCCCGGGCCUUGUACACAGAGCCC
Molecule: ribosomal RNA, 1432 nt
Filed under: uncultured prokaryote
Description: partial 16S ribosomal RNA
Rfam family: Bacterial small subunit ribosomal RNA
Source: RNAcentral